Molecule: transfer RNA, 62 nt
Filed under: Culex quinquefasciatus (southern house mosquito)
Lineage: Eukaryota; Metazoa; Arthropoda; Insecta; Diptera; Culicidae
Rfam family: tRNA
About the family: Transfer RNA (tRNA) molecules are approximately 80 nucleotides in length. Their secondary structure includes four short double-helical elements and three loops (D, anti-codon, and T loops). Further hydrogen bonds mediate the characteristic L-shaped molecular structure. tRNAs have two regions of fundamental functional importance: the anti-codon, which is responsible for specific mRNA codon recognition, and the 3' end, to which the tRNAs corresponding amino acid is attached (by aminoacyl-tRNA synthetases). tRNAs cope with the degeneracy of the genetic code in two manners: having more than one tRNA (with a specific anti-codon) for a particular amino acid; and 'wobble' base-pairing, i.e. permitting non-standard base-pairing at the 3rd anti-codon position.
Source: Rfam by way of RNAcentral
GUGGCAGUGCCGCUGUCCGCUUUGUAAGCGGAUGAUUCUGGGUUCGAUUCCCAUCUGCUGCA